GCAGUGGCGGGUGCUAUACUGCAGUCGAACGCUUUUUCUUUCACCGGAGCUUGCUCCACCGAAAGAAAAAGAGUGGCGAACGGGUGAGUAACACGUGGGUAACCUGCCCAUCAGAAGGGGAUAACACUUGGAAACAGGUGCUAAUACCGUAUAACACUAUUUUCCGCAUGGAAGAAAGUUGAAAGGCGCUUUUGCGUCACUGAUGGAUGGACCCGCGGUGCAUUAGCUAGUUGGUGAGGUAACGGCUCACCAAGGCCACGAUGCAUAGCCGACCUGAGAGGGUGAUCGGCCACACUGGGACUGAGACACGGCCCAGACUCCUACGGGAGGCAGCAGUAGGGAAUCUUCGGCAAUGGACGAAAGUCUGACCGAGCAACGCCGCGUGAGUGAAGAAGGUUUUCGGAUCGUAAAACUCUGUUGUUAGAGAAGAACAAGGAUGAGAGUAGAACGUUCAUCCCUUGACGGUAUCUAACCAGAAAGCCACGGCUAACUACGUGCCAGCAGCCGCGGUAAUACGUAGGUGGCAAGCGUUGUCCGGAUUUAUUGGGCGUAAAGCGAGCGCAGGCGGUUUCUUAAGUCUGAUGUGAAAGCCCCCGGCUC
This 600-nucleotide ribosomal RNA is filed under the name Enterococcus casseliflavus. Its description in RNAcentral is "bacterial SSU rRNA". It matches the Rfam family "Bacterial small subunit ribosomal RNA", at positions 35 to 610 of the family's 1533-position model. Lineage: Bacteria; Bacillati; Bacillota; Bacilli; Lactobacillales; Enterococcaceae. The record is from RNAcentral.